UACGGAGGAUGCGAGCGUUAUCCGGAUUUAUUGGGUUUAAAGGGUGCGUAGGCGGGAUGCCAAGUCAGCGGUAAAAAUGCGGUGCUCAACGCCGUCGAGCCGUUGAAACUGGCGUUCUUGUGUGGGCGAGAAGUAUGCGGAAUGCGUGGUGUAGCGGUGAAAUGCAUAGAUAUCACGCAGAACUCCGAUUGCGAAGGCGGCAUACCGGCGCCCUACUGACGCUGAGGCACGAAAGCGUGGGUAUCGAACAGG
Molecule: ribosomal RNA, 252 nt
Filed under: uncultured bacterium
Lineage: Bacteria
Description: partial 16S ribosomal RNA
Rfam family: Bacterial small subunit ribosomal RNA
Source: RNAcentral